Molecule: ribosomal RNA, 562 nt
Filed under: Isocapnia hyalita
Lineage: Eukaryota; Metazoa; Arthropoda; Insecta; Plecoptera; Capniidae
Description: partial 16S ribosomal RNA
Rfam family: Bacterial large subunit ribosomal RNA
Source: RNAcentral
UCGCCUGUUUAUCAAAAACAUGUCUUUUUGAUAAUAAUUUAAAGUCUGACCUGCCCACUGAAUUUAAAAAAUUUGAAGGGCCGCGGUAUUUUGACCGUGCAAAGGUAGCAUAAUCAUUAGUCUUUUAAUUGGAGGCUGGAAUGAAUGGUUGGACGAGGUAUUGACUGUCUCAGUAUAAAUGUAAAUAGAAUUUAUCUUUUAAGUCAAAAGAUAUAAAUGAUGUUAGAGGACGAGAAGACCCUAUAGAGCUUUAUAUUGAAAUAUUAUUAUUUACUUAGAAGUUUUUUUAUAAUAGUGGUAUCAAUAUUUUGUUGGGGUGACAGGAAGAUAUAAUAAACUCUUUUUAGUUUAGGUACAUUUAUGUAUGAAUUGAUGAUCCAUUAGUAAUGAUUAGAAGACUAAGUUACCUUAGGGAUAACAGCGUAAUCUUUUUCGAGAGUUCUUAUCGACAAAAAGGGUUGCGACCUCGAUGUUGGAUUAAGGGUAAUUUUGGGUGUAGAUGUUCAAAGUUUAGGUCUGUUCGACCUUUAAAUCCUUACAUGAUCUGAGUUCAAACCGGAGA